Molecule: long non-coding RNA, 3238 nt
Organism: Astatotilapia calliptera (eastern happy)
Lineage: Eukaryota; Metazoa; Chordata; Actinopteri; Cichliformes; Cichlidae
Source: Ensembl
UGGAUGAUACAUAUCCUUUAUUUCCAUGAUCAUUACUUCAGCCACACUGUUACUUACACAUUCACAGACAUCCUGCGACCUGGUACAGCUAUCUCGACUGAAACGAUCGCCCUGGCUUAACCUCUCAAUCAAAAUACUCAGCAUUAACCAAUAAAAAAGUAAACCUCUUGAAUAAAUUAUAUAUAAAAAGAACAAAUGAAAAUCAAAAGGAAUACCAAUCCGAGAAAGAUAAAUACAGCAUAAACAAUCCUUUUUCUUCAGUGUUGUUUUUGACCACAGAGAUAAACAUCUGCUAGAUCUCCUUUUAGUCGUCAUUAGUAGUAUUAGUAUCAAGUUCUUUGUCAGAUUUUGCUUAAAGCAUCACUUAUAUAAUUUUCAUUGCAUCAAGUUGACAUCAUUCAUGUUAAUAUAAGCAUGCAAACAUGUUUCCCCAUGACCAUUCGGAACUGCACAAACGAGAGAAGACAGCGAGGGGGAGAAUAGGGAGGAGGACGGAAAGGGUGGGGUGGGGUUGUCAUACACAGAGAGAAAGAAAGAGGGCAAGAUGGGGGGAGAAAGCUGAAGGAACUGGGGAGGAAAAAGUAGAGCAGGAAAAAUGGUUAGGUGAUGGAGAGUUGCAGGAGGAAAGGUAAGGAUUGCUGGAGGAGAAAAUGACUAAUCAGACAGACAGAAACAGAAAGGGAGGGGUUUAGAUGGGGUGCGGGUUGGGGGGGGGGGGGGGGGCAGAGGGAGGAGGAGAAUAAGGGAAUGUGCUGGCUCCAGUAUGAGUUUUGCAGUCUAUCACAAGGCAGUAACACUAGGGCUAAAUAGGGUAGACACAAGCAGAGAGAGAAGGAGAGAGGCUGGGAAAGGAGGAGAGUUUAUGGGGCCUCUAGACCGAUGGAUCAAUACCAUAUCUACUUAUACAAGCUGAUCAAUAACCCCCCAUCUGACAAACAACACAAAAUACUUUCAGAUGUAAUUAUAACCUCCUGCUACCUUCACUGAUCCAAAGGAAAACUAGACCCCCCCCCCCCCCCCCCCCCAUCCCCAAACUGCACGCACAAAAUACACACACGUGUGUGUUUGUGCACGUGAGGAUGAGACUGAAAUGGCAACAAUACAAGUAGCUGCAGUGAGGUGUUGUACUGUUUUGCUGAGGUUACAGUGUGGUGACAGACAUGGCUUUGAAAAGUCUGUAUCGGUUUACACAAGUAGUGCAGAUAUUUCAAGCGCUCGUUUCUCACAACACCUCCUCCCUGAUGUCUCGCCUUUAUGGGGAUCUAAAUUUAUCUUGAUCUGUUUUUUUUUCCCUUAAACCUUUUAUUUUUUGUUGUCUUCCUUCUCAUGAAUGUAAUCAAAACACACCCAACAAUUAAAAUGAUCAAUCCCAGUGCCGUCCUGAUUUUCCCUCGGACAUACAGUACACAAACUACUGAAAGAAGUACACAAUCAACACAGUUACUUACAUCAGGCAAAGGGUGAGAGAGGAGAGAAGGGCUGAAUGAUUGGCAGCUGAUUUCAGAGACGACAUAGACAAUACAAACUAAUGUCUAUGAAAGACAGUGUUUCCCCACCUAGUGCAAUGAGGCACGUAUAGUACAUACACAUUCACUCACUCACACACACACACACACACACACACACACACACACACACACACACACACACACACACACACACACACAGAAAAUAGCUCCUUGUAAAGACACAACACAAAGUUGGCUCCAAGACAGUCUGUGGAUGCCGGGAUUCGAGGAGCGAGGGAGGCAAGACAGGAAAAGGACACGGGAGAGGAGGAAAAGGAGGAGGUGAGCACAAAAACGUGUCACACACAAGGUCACAGUGACACGCAGGCAUACACACACGCACAGACACACACGAUACAAAACAAACACGCCCACAAACACAGAAACACACACUAAUAAAAGCAACACGGACGUGUGUGUCCUCCUAAAGUCUUGUCGGUGACAUGAUAUGGACUAAUAAUUUUGUCAAUUGAAGCUUGAGGAACAAAAACAACAAAAAACACAUUGUCCUGGAAUGAUUGAAAAAUAAAUUAGAGUGGUGAUAUCCUUCGGUGUGGGAUACAUCCUCCAGCUAGUGCACUCCAAACAGAUGCUGGUCCAAUCCUAAAGCCAGGAUUCGUUGAACCCGUUUUGUCCUACAUUAGGAAAAGCCUGGCGAUUUGGCCUGAAAGCCAGUGUCGAUCAAAUAGUUCGUGUCUCGCAUCAUCUCAUCCUCAGUGGACCGUAAAAAAAAUGGCAUGAAUAAACUCAUUUCCGCAUGGUUGCAUGUAUACUGUUUCACACAAAUGACAGAGCAAAAUAAUUUAAAAAAUACUAACGAGCACCAUGAGGACUGUGACAAAAAGCAUGAGGAAGAGGGACACAUUUCAAGGCUAUGUAACAUGCUUAGACCAAUGAGUCUGUCCUCAUUUUUCGCUCUUCUGACAUCAAUAAAGACCACUGGAUGCCUCGUCAUCUUUCCUCUGGGGAAAAUAAGCGAGUUAACUCUGAAACCAGAGGGUAGGAACCCUGGAGAAGGCGUCCAAAAUGGCCGAGAGUAUCCACGGUGGAUAUUUCGCCCUGCUAGUACUACAUGAGAUGUAUUCCUAUACAGUACGGCAUAUACUGUACACUAAAAGAAAAAUAUUGACAUAAGGAUUUUCUUCUUUUGUAGUCUGUACAAGGGCAUGAACCUUUGGUCCUGUUUGAAAUGACCAUUCUACGAUGGCUUACUUUUGACUUUUUUUAGUUUUCAAGAGAGAAAAAGUUUGUCACGUCACACUCCUUCUAGAUGAAAUACUACACUAAUCUGAAGCACACAUGGACUACUCACAUACUACAAACUCUGUAUUUGUGUAUUUGUCUGUGUGUGUGUGUGGGUGGGUGUUUCCUCGCUAGAUCCCAAAAUGUACACCUGAUUUCAGUCCACUGUACCGUUAAGUGUCCACAUGUGUUUGUAAAUGUGUAGUCUGAUGCUCAAAAGUGUAGCUUGUGAUGGAUGGAGCUGAUUUUUCCCCCCUCCAGCUCAGUAAAGACAGCACAGGAGUUGAAGGAUUCAUUAGCAGGAGCAGAACAGCACUAGCAGUUGGACACUAGCAGUGUCUCCACGUCUCUCUUUCUUUGAUGGAGAGAAUUAUUCACAGAUGAGAAGAAAGAAAGCAAAGUCUGGAGCUGUAGAGAUGAUGAUGACCUGAGGAAAGAAGGAAUAAGGGGGGAGAAGCAGAUUAAGGAAGAGCGUGAGUUAGGGGGAG